GACAAAACCGGGGAAGGCAGCGGCGGUAAUGCGGAGGGUGCGAGAGUUACUCGGAAUCACUGGGCGUAAAGAGGGUGUAGGCGGGUGAAUAAGGCAGAAGUGAAAGCCAAUAGCUCAACUAUUGAACUGCUUUGGAAACUGUAUACCUAGAAUGUGGGAGAGGCAGAUGGAGUUUCUGGUGUAGGGGUAAAAUCCGUAGAGAUCAGAAGGAAUACCGAUUGCGAAGGCGAUCUGCUGGAACAUUAUUGACGCUGAGACGCGAAAGCGUGGGGAGCAAACAGGAUUAGAUCCCCUGUAGUC
RNAcentral lists this ribosomal RNA (300 nucleotides) under uncultured Halogranum sp. Its description in RNAcentral is "bacterial SSU rRNA". It matches the Rfam family "Bacterial small subunit ribosomal RNA", at positions 495 to 795 of the family's 1533-position model. The record is from RNAcentral. Lineage: Archaea; Methanobacteriati; Methanobacteriota; Halobacteria; Halobacteriales; Haloferacaceae.